CGAGUAUGUAGCUCAGUUGGUAGAGCAGUGGACUUUUAAUCCAUUGGCCUUGGGUUCAAGUCCCAACAUACUCA
RNAcentral lists this transfer RNA (74 nucleotides) under Heterosigma akashiwo. RNAcentral describes it as "tRNA-Lys". It matches the Rfam family "tRNA". From Rfam's summary of the family: Transfer RNA (tRNA) molecules are approximately 80 nucleotides in length. Their secondary structure includes four short double-helical elements and three loops (D, anti-codon, and T loops). The record is from RNAcentral. Lineage: Eukaryota; Raphidophyceae; Chattonellales; Chattonellaceae.